Long non-coding RNA from Chinchilla lanigera (long-tailed chinchilla), 518 nucleotides. RefSeq lists it as uncharacterized. The record is from RefSeq and is a predicted model, not a curated record. The transcript is spliced from 3 exons. NCBI's taxonomy places the organism in Eukaryota, Metazoa, Chordata, Mammalia, Rodentia, Chinchillidae.
GCGCAUGGCCCAUAUGUACAGUUAUCCGAUGCUGGGCUACUGGAGCUGAUGUUGAGCCUCUUUCCUUCUGCAGUGCUUCUGGUAAGGCAGGAGGGCUCAGCACUGGCGACAGUCAGAGGCAAGCAAUACCCUCAGUGCUCCCAAAGCUGGAUUCCUCCACUGUGAUAUGAAAACCCACAGAAUAUAUCCAACACCUUCUUGGUUUGAACUGCCGGCUGAGGGCGUAAAAUUCGUCAAGGGACAGCAAUGGUGUCACACUCCCACUGAGAGCUGAAGUUCAUCCACUGCACUCGCUGAAUUAUCACUGUCGCUGAGAAAUUCCACAACCACUGGGUUCUUAAGAGAAAGGAUCUGACAAAUGAAAAUAUUUCAAACUUGAAGGAAGAGGAUGAGGCCUUCAAUGCACUGUGGGAUGGGUCAUGCCUUAAGAAACUCUUCAAAUCUCAAUGCUGAUGGAUAUCAAAGACAAGUGACUUGUGCAGUUAAGACUGGAUUCAUAGUUGUCACCUCAACUCAGA